RNAcentral lists this unclassified non-coding RNA (216 nucleotides) under Hevea brasiliensis (rubber tree). Lineage: Eukaryota; Viridiplantae; Streptophyta; Magnoliopsida; Malpighiales; Euphorbiaceae. The record is from RNAcentral.
AUCGGUGGUUCGGGUGGAAGCAAGAAAUUGAUGGAUUCAAUUCAGAAAUUGGAAGUAAAUUGGAAAUUGAUGAUUCUUGUUGUUGCUGCUGCUGGAAUCGCUGCUGUUGUUUCUUUGUUGUUCUUCGUUUCCACAAAAUCUGCAAUGGCUUCUCCAAUCAUCCAUGUGGCCACAUGAAUUUGCCUGCUCAUAACGUGUGCUUCUGACCCACUUCGG